RNAcentral lists this transfer RNA (74 nucleotides) under Salicibibacter cibarius. RNAcentral describes it as "Salicibibacter sp. NKC5-3 tRNA-Trp". It matches the Rfam family "tRNA". Rfam says of the family: Transfer RNA (tRNA) molecules are approximately 80 nucleotides in length. Their secondary structure includes four short double-helical elements and three loops (D, anti-codon, and T loops). Lineage: Bacteria; Bacillati; Bacillota; Bacilli; Caryophanales; Bacillaceae. The record is from RNAcentral.
AGAGGUAUCGUUUAACGGUAAAACAGAGGGCUCCAAACCCUCCGAUGCGGGUUCGAUUCCCGCGACCUCUGCCA